GACGAACGCUGGCGGCGUGCCUAAUACAUGCAAGUAGAACGCACAGUUUAUACCGUAGCUUGCUACACCAUAAACUGUGAGUUGCGAACGGGUGAGUAACGCGUAGGUAACCUGCCUGGUAGCGGGGGAUAACUAUUGGAAACGAUAGCUAAUACCGCAUAAUAUUAAUUAUUGCAUGAUAAUUGAUUGAAAUAUGCAAUUGCAUCACUACCAGCUGGACCUGGUUUGUAUUAGCUAGUAGGUGAGGUAACGGCUCACCUAGGCGACGAUACAUAGCCGACCUGGGAAGGUGAUCGGCCAAACUGGGACUGAGACACGGCCCAGACUCCUUCGGGAGGCAGCAGUAGGGAAACUUCGGCCAUGGACGGAAGUCUGACCGAGCAACGCCGCGUGAGUGAAGAAGGUUUUCGGAUCGUAAAGCUCUGGUGUAAGAGAAGAACGGGUGUGAGAGUGGAAAGUGCACACUGUGACGGUAUCUUACCAGAAAGGGACGGCUAACUACGUG
This 505-nucleotide ribosomal RNA is filed under the name uncultured bacterium. RNAcentral describes it as "partial 16S ribosomal RNA". It matches the Rfam family "Bacterial small subunit ribosomal RNA", at positions 28 to 507 of the family's 1533-position model. The record is from RNAcentral.